This 465-nucleotide ribosomal RNA is filed under the name uncultured bacterium. Its description in RNAcentral is "partial 16S ribosomal RNA". It matches the Rfam family "Bacterial small subunit ribosomal RNA", at positions 338 to 795 of the family's 1533-position model. The record is from RNAcentral.
CCUACGGGAGGCAGCAGUGGGGAAUAUUGCGCAAUGGGCGAAAGCCUGACGCAGCGACGCCGCGUGAGGGAUGAAGGUCUUCGGAUCGUUAAACUCUGUCAGCAGGGAAGAACGGUCACUGUGCUAAUCAGCAGUGAAUUGACGGUACCUGCAAAGGAAGCACAGGCUAACUCCGUGCCCGCAGCCGCGGUAAUACGGAGGGUGCGAGCGUUAAUCGGAAUUACUGGGGGUAAGGCGCUCGUAGGCGGUAUGUCAAGUCAAGGGUGAAAUCCCCGCGCUCAACGUGGGAACUGCCUUUGAAACUGGCAAACUGGAGUGUGUGAGAGGAUAGUGGAAUGCCAGGUGUAGGAGUGAAAUCCGUAGAUAUCUGGAGGAACAUCAGUGGCGAAGGCGACUAUCUGGCACAUAACUGACGCUGAGGAGCGAAAGCGUGGGUAGCAAACAGGAUUAGAUACCCCAGUAGUC